UCCUUGUUAGCUCAGUUGGUAGAGCGUUCGGCUUUUAACCGAAAUGUCACGGGUUCGAGCCCCGUAUGAGGAG
Eremothecium cymbalariae DBVPG#7215 is the source of this 73-nucleotide non-coding RNA. The record is from the annotation of a RefSeq genome assembly. Lineage: Eukaryota; Fungi; Ascomycota; Saccharomycetes; Saccharomycetales; Saccharomycetaceae.